AUCCGUCGAAUGUGGGCUGACAAGGUCACGACUGUGAAUGCCGAGAGAAUUGUUGCCAUCGAACAUCUCCAGGCAGCAACUGAGCGGGAGAAAGUGGCGGCUGAGUGGGAGAAGAAGGACUAAGAAAAGAUCUCCCACAUGAAGGCUGAGUUGGAGUCGGCCCGAGCCGAAUUAGAGUUGGCUCAGCAGACCAUCAAGUCUCAAGAGUUUUGGAUCAAAAAGAAGAAGAAUAAGCUUAGUCGACUCUGGAAGGAAUAUGAUGGCUGCACCA
RNAcentral lists this long non-coding RNA (271 nucleotides) under Elaeis guineensis (African oil palm). RNAcentral describes it as "long non-coding RNA (EGUI_LNC002931)". The record is from RNAcentral. Lineage: Eukaryota; Viridiplantae; Streptophyta; Magnoliopsida; Arecales; Arecaceae.